Molecule: non-coding RNA, 75 nt
Organism: Myotis lucifugus (little brown bat)
Lineage: Eukaryota; Metazoa; Chordata; Mammalia; Chiroptera; Vespertilionidae
Source: Rfam
GGUGGUUUUCGGUUGACACACCCCAGAAUCGGACACCCUCCUUUUUGGUUCUGGGUGCAUCACCUGAGAACUGCA